This 465-nucleotide ribosomal RNA is filed under the name uncultured bacterium. Its description in RNAcentral is "partial 16S ribosomal RNA". It matches the Rfam family "Bacterial small subunit ribosomal RNA", at positions 338 to 795 of the family's 1533-position model. The record is from RNAcentral.
CCUACGGGAGGCAGCAGUAGGGAAUCUUCCACAAUGGGCGAAAGCCUGAUGGAGCAACGCCGCGUGGGUGAAGAAGGUCUUCGGAUCGUAAAACCCUGUUGUUAGAGAAGAAAGUGCGUGAGUGUAACUGUUCACGUUUCGACGGUAUCUAACCAGAAAGCCACGGCUAACUACGUGCCAGCAGCCGCGGUAAUACGUAGGUGGCAAGCGUUAUCCGGAUUUUUUGGGCGUAAAGGGAACGCAGGCGGUCUUUUAAGUCAGAUGUGAAAGCCUUCGGCUUAACCGGAGUAGUGCAUUGGAAACUGGGAGACUUGAGUGCAGUAGAGGAGAGUGGAACUCCAUGUGUAGCGGUGAAAUGCGUAGAUAUAUGGAAGAACACCAGUGGCGAAGGCGGCUCUCUGGUCUGUAACUGACGCUGAGGUUCGAAAGCGUGGGUAGCAAACAGGAUUAGAUACCCCGGUAGUC